UACCUGCAGCUCGAGUGGUAACCGCUAUUAUUGGGCCUAAAGCGUCCGUAGCCGGUUUGGUAAAUAUCUGGGUAAAUCGUGAGGCUUAACUUCACGAAUUUCGGAUAGACUGCCAGACUUGGGAUCGGGGGAGGUCAGAGGUACUCCAGGGGUAGCGGUGAAAUGUUGUAAUCCUUGGAGGACAACCGGUAGCGAAGGCGUCUGACUAGAACGAGUCCGACGGUGAGGGACGAAGCCCUGGGGCGCAAACCGGAUUAGAUACCCGGGUAGUCCAGGGUGUAAACAAUAUGGGCUUUGUAUUGGAGGUUCCACGUGGGCGUCCAGUGCAGAAGAGAAGUUGUUAAGCCCACCGCCUGGGAAGUACGGUCGCAAGGCUGAAACUUAAAGGAAUUGGCGGGGGAGCACAGCAACGGGAGGAGCGUGCGGUUU
Molecule: ribosomal RNA, 429 nt
Filed under: uncultured archaeon
Lineage: Archaea
Description: bacterial SSU rRNA
Rfam family: Archaeal small subunit ribosomal RNA
Source: RNAcentral